Molecule: transfer RNA, 133 nt
Filed under: Euroglyphus maynei
Lineage: Eukaryota; Metazoa; Arthropoda; Arachnida; Sarcoptiformes; Pyroglyphidae
Rfam family: tRNA
About the family: Transfer RNA (tRNA) molecules are approximately 80 nucleotides in length. Their secondary structure includes four short double-helical elements and three loops (D, anti-codon, and T loops).
Source: Rfam by way of RNAcentral
GGCCCAGUGGUCUAGGGGUAUGAUUUGCGCUUUGGGCGACGAAAAAUUUCAUCCAAUUUCAUAAAAUUGUAUGAUGAUGAUGAUGAUUGUCUAAAUAUGCGCGAGGUCCCGGGUUCAAAUCCCGGCUGGGCCC